RNAcentral lists this ribosomal RNA (497 nucleotides) under uncultured bacterium. RNAcentral describes it as "partial 16S ribosomal RNA". It matches the Rfam family "Bacterial small subunit ribosomal RNA", at positions 28 to 507 of the family's 1533-position model. The record is from RNAcentral.
GACGAACGCUGGCGGCGUGCCUAAUACAUGCAAGUUGAGCGCUGAAGGUUUGUACUUGUACCAACUGGAUGAGCAGCGAACGGGUGAGUAACGCGUGGGUAAUCUGCCUUUGAGCGGGGGACAACAUUUGGAAACGAAUGCUAAUACCGCAUAAAAACUUUAAACACAAGUUUUAAGUUUGAAAUAUGCAAUUGCAUCACUCAAAGAUGAUCCCGCGUUUUAUUAGGUAGUUGGUGAGGUAAAGGCUCACCAAGGCGAUGAUACAUAGCCGACCUGAGAGGGUGGACGGCCAAAUUGGGAAGGAGACAAGGGACAAAAGGCUAAGGGAGGCAGCAGGAGGGAAACUUCGGAAAUGGACGAAAGUCUGACCGAGAAAAGCCGAGGGAGGGAAGAAGGAUUUCGGAUCGGAAAAAUCUGUUGGUAGAGAAGAAAGUUGGUGAGAGUGGAAAGCACAUCAAGUGACGGUAACUACACAGAAAGGGACGGCUAACUACGUG